Molecule: transfer RNA, 72 nt
Filed under: Cyathus jiayuguanensis
Lineage: Eukaryota; Fungi; Basidiomycota; Agaricomycetes; Agaricales; Nidulariaceae
Description: tRNA-Val
Rfam family: tRNA
About the family: Transfer RNA (tRNA) molecules are approximately 80 nucleotides in length. Their secondary structure includes four short double-helical elements and three loops (D, anti-codon, and T loops). Further hydrogen bonds mediate the characteristic L-shaped molecular structure. tRNAs have two regions of fundamental functional importance: the anti-codon, which is responsible for specific mRNA codon recognition, and the 3' end, to which the tRNAs corresponding amino acid is attached (by aminoacyl-tRNA synthetases). tRNAs cope with the degeneracy of the genetic code in two manners: having more than one tRNA (with a specific anti-codon) for a particular amino acid; and 'wobble' base-pairing, i.e. permitting non-standard base-pairing at the 3rd anti-codon position.
Source: RNAcentral
AAGGAAUUAGCUGAGUGGUUUUAGCGUUGAUUUUACACAUCAAAGAGAAGGUUUCGAUUACCUUAUUCCUUA